UGCUUUAACAAAAUACACUGGAUGAGAUGAGCCUUUCAGAAGAAGAAAGUUAAGAAGAAAACUGAGCAGAACCUGCAAGUUUUAUGAGAUCCCAUUGUAAUUGCACCAUUGAACACAGUCAAAAGUGACAAAUCUUCAGUAACUCCUGCAGGGCAUUUUCACCCUCUUAAUGGAAGAAGAAGAAGAAGAAGAAGAAGAAGAAGAAGAAGAAGAAGAAGAAGAAGAAGAAGACGACGACGACGACGACGACGAUGACUGGGGACAUAGAUGUAUGGUGUGAGCCCAGUGAAAUGCAGAUUUGCAAAAUUAAAGGAGAAAUUUUGGAGUGGAGAGAGAGGGGAAAGCAAAAUACUUUAAAUACUCACUGAUUUAUUUCAUUGUGGGCUUCUGUGGAUCAAGUGUCCUUCAAUGAAUUGGAAGGUAGCUUCUGCUGUAAUCCUAUAAACUAACCUUUCUCAAACCUCAAACGUCUCCAGAUGUGUCAGACCACAAUUCCCACAAUCCCCAGCCAACCAGCUAUAAGGUUAUACUUCUACCCUCCUGGAAGAUCCCAUAUUGGAAAAGGCUGUUGUACACAAUUAUUAGAUAUUCCACCCCUUUAAUGUCUUAGCCGCAGUCCUCAUGUCAAGAUUUGAUGGGAAAAUCUGUGAUUUCUGAUUUAAAGAGGUCUUUUCACACAUCACUUCCAAUUUUUAAGAUUUGAUUCACAAGGCUUAAUUGGUUCCUUUGAACCAUUUCCCUAAUUUAGAGAUGAAGUUAGGACAGAACUUCAAGUGGCCCUUAAUUACUGCCUGAUAUGAAUGCACCACACUAGGGCACUUGUUAAAACUGAUGAUUGAAAUUACAUCCUAUCUGUCAAAAUUUGGUGACAGUUGCUCUUCUCUGCACAGAGAAGGUCCCACUUUCGAGCCAAGGGAACUUUAUUUUAAAAUGUUUCAUGCAAGAGAUGGGAAGGAUUGCAGAAAACCACUGCUGAUCAGGGCU
Non-coding RNA from Pogona vitticeps (central bearded dragon), 984 nucleotides. The record is from RefSeq and is a predicted model, not a curated record. Lineage: Eukaryota; Metazoa; Chordata; Lepidosauria; Squamata; Agamidae.